RNAcentral lists this ribosomal RNA (429 nucleotides) under bacterium. RNAcentral's name for it is "partial 16S ribosomal RNA". It matches the Rfam family "Bacterial small subunit ribosomal RNA", at positions 355 to 776 of the family's 1533-position model. The record is from RNAcentral.
UGGGGAAUCUUCCGCAAUGGACGAAAGUCUGACGGAGCAACGCCGCGUGAGUGAUGACGGUCUUCGGAUUGUAAAGCUCUGUUAAUCGGGACGAAUGGUUUAUGUGCAAAUAGUGCAUAGACAUGACGGUACCGGAAUAGAAAGCCACUGCUAACUACGUGCCAGCAGCCGCGGUAAUACGUAGGUGGCCAGCGUUUUCCGUAAUUAUUGGGCGUAAAGCGCGCGCAGGCGGACUAGCCAGUCAGUCUUAAAAGUUCGGGGCGUAACCCCGUGAUGGGAUUGAAACUACUAGUCUAGAGUAUCGGAGAGGAAAGUGGAAUUCCUAGUGUAGCGGUGAAAUGCGUAGAUAUUAGGAAGAACACCAGUGGCGAAGGCGACUUUCUGGACGAACACUGACGCUGAGGCGCGAAAGCCAGGGGAGCGAACGGG